Long non-coding RNA from Arabidopsis lyrata subsp. lyrata, 1053 nucleotides. RefSeq lists it as uncharacterized. NCBI's taxonomy places the organism in Eukaryota, Viridiplantae, Streptophyta, Magnoliopsida, Brassicales, Brassicaceae. The record is from RefSeq and is a predicted model, not a curated record. The transcript is spliced from 8 exons.
AUUAUCUGAAGAGAUAAUUCUUAAUCGAACAAUCGAUGUCUGAUAGAUCUAGACAAAAAAAAAUUCUUGUCGGUAUCGAUGAUUCGUUUCCAAAAUUGUCACAGAUUCCAUAUAAUUCGUUUUUGUUGAUACUUUGUGGAGAUGUAAUUGUUAGAUCAGAAAAGAGGAAGUAUUGUGAAAUUGUGAAUUACAGAGGAAACUUCAGUUGCAGAUUGUUACAGACAUUCUUAUAUGUUUUCAAGAGAAGAGGAACCAAGGAGAUAAGUUUUUAAAUGAUUAUUAUAAAACAUAACAACUUUCCAAAGAUAAUUAACUCAUGAUACAAAGCUCAAUGGCUGCAGGCUAAGUAACAAUUUUGCGAGUCUAUUUGGUUUGGAGAAGUCUGAUUUGAUGUCAGUUUGGAGAAUUUGAGAUCUUUAAAUACAAAGAAUCAGCUUGGACUUGAAUUCAGAAGGAGGAAGGAUAUUUGGUAUUGGUUGAUGGCUUUUUGACAAAUCUUAAUGUUAAAGGUGCAAUACGAAUUCAUGACUACAGGUGGUACAGUUGGAACUAAAGAUCAUAAAUAUCUUUGUACGACAAACACUUCAAAGUGGUUCAUCAAUGCCUCAGCAAAUCUCCCCCACAGAGUACAUGGAAUGGACAAUUUUCACUUGGAUCUUCCAAUUCGUCUUGAAAGGUCGUACGUCAGCAAGGGUGGUGAUACCUUGAUUUGCAGCCAUGGUUACGAAAUAGUAAAAAGAGAAGAAUGCUUUUAUGAAAGCCCAUUAGACGUCUAAGAAGCCCAGCUCAAAUGUCACCAACCCAGUAAUAUUCAGCUCAAAUGAUAAUCGGAUCAUCCAAAUAAGCUAAUAUAGAUCCGCGUGUCUCAAUUGUUUGUAAUAUUGGUAGAUCCGGGUGAAGAUCCAAGAUCCGCGUUUUUUUUAAAUGUAAAGUCUUUUUUUUACCCUUCAACGUGAGAAUUUGUUAUUUCUUUGUAUCCAAAUUUUGCAAUGGCAAUCUUUGUAAAUAUUCUACCAAAAUAAGGUUAUUUAAAUUUGAGUGAUUCUCAAUUAA